CUUUUUCUUUCACCGGAGCUUGCUCCCCGAAAGAAAAAGAGUGGCGAACGGGUGAGUAACACGUGGGUAACCUGCCCAUCAGAAGGGGAUAACACUUGGAAACAGGUGCUAAUACCGUAUAACACUAUUUUCCGCAUGGAAGAAAGUUGAAAGGCGCUUUUGCGUCACUGAUGGAUGGACCCGCGGUGCAUUAGCUAGUUGGUGAGGUAACGGCUCACCAAGGCAACGAUGCAUAGCCGACCUGAGAGGGUGAUCGGCCACACUGGGACUGAGACACGGCCCAGACUCCUACGGGAGGCAGCAGUAGGGAAUCUUCGGCAAUGGACGAAAGUCUGACCGAGCAACGCCGCGUGAGUGAAGAAGGUUUUCGGAUCGUAAAACUCUGUUGUUAGAGAAGAACAAGGAUGAGAGUAAAAUGUUCAUCCCUUGACGGUAUCUAACCAGAAAGCCACGGCUAACUACGUGCCAGCAGCCGCGGUAAUACGUAGGUGGCAAGCGUUGUCCGGAUUUAUUGGGCGUAAAGCGAGCGCAGGCGGUUUCUUAAGUCUGAUGUGAAAGCCCCCGGCUCAACCGGGGAGGGUCAUUGGAAACUGGGAGACUUGAGUGCAGAAGAGGAGAGUGGAAUUCCAUGUGUAGCGGUGAAAUGCGUAGAUAUAUGGAGGAACCCAGUGGCGAGGCGGCUCUCUGGUCUGUACUGACGCUGAGCUCGAAGCGUGGGGAGCAACAGAU
This 729-nucleotide ribosomal RNA is filed under the name uncultured bacterium. RNAcentral describes it as "bacterial SSU rRNA". It matches the Rfam family "Bacterial small subunit ribosomal RNA", at positions 67 to 778 of the family's 1533-position model. The record is from RNAcentral.